This 465-nucleotide ribosomal RNA is filed under the name uncultured bacterium. RNAcentral's name for it is "partial 16S ribosomal RNA". It matches the Rfam family "Bacterial small subunit ribosomal RNA", at positions 28 to 507 of the family's 1533-position model. The record is from RNAcentral.
GACGAACGCUGGCGGCGUGCUUAACACAUGCAAGUCGUACGGUAAGGCCCUUUCGGGGGUACACGAGUGGCGAACGGGUGAGUAACACGUGAGUAACCUGCCCACAACUUUGGGAUAACGCUAGGAAACUGGUGCUAAUACUGGAUAUGUGCUCCUGCUGCAUGGUGGGGGUUGGAAAGCUCCGGCGGUUGUGGAUGGACUCGCGGCCUAUCAGCUUGUUGGUGGGGUAGUGGCCUACCAAGGCGGCGACGGGUAGCCGGCCUGAGAGGGUGACCGGCCACAGUGGGACUGGGAUACGGCCCAGACUCCUACGGGAGGCAGCAGUGGGGAAGAUUGCACAAUGGGCGCAAGCCUGAUGCAGCAACGCCGCGUGCGGGAUGACGGCCUUCGGGUUGUAAACCGAUUUCAGCAGGGACGAAGCUUUUUGUGACGGUACCUGCAGAAGAAGCACCGGCUAACUACGUG